GACGGAGGAUGCAAGCGUUAUCCGGAAUGAUUGGGCGUAAAGCGUCCGCAGGUGGCAGUUCAAGUCUGCUGUCAAAGACCGGGGCUUAACUUCGGAAAGGCAGUGGAAACUGAACAGCUAGAGUAUGGUAGGGGCAGAGGGAAUUCCUGGUGUAGCGGUGAAAUGCGUAGAGAUCAGGAAGAACAUCGGUGGCGAAGGCGCUCUGCUGGACCAUAACUGACACUCAAGGACGAAAGCUAGGGGAGCGAAUGGG
Molecule: ribosomal RNA, 253 nt
Filed under: uncultured bacterium
Lineage: Bacteria
Description: partial 16S ribosomal RNA
Rfam family: Bacterial small subunit ribosomal RNA
Source: RNAcentral